AGUAACAAUUUGGACAAGACAGCAAAUGCUAUUGUCCAAGUUUUCUAAAGAAGAAUCUGAAGUGAAAUGACAUCAAGAGACCUAUCAAGACCUGUAUCCAGGAAAAGGUUUAUAUGUGGAAGAGACUUGCCCUGUCUCAGGAAUUAGAGAAAGAACUAAUCAGUGUGAAGGAGAAUUGUCAGUAAAAUUACAAGAAAAGAUUGAGAUCAUAAUUGACCUUUGAGGAUAAUAAAAUUUAAAGACCAAAAGGAUGGACUUCACAGAAACAUGACCUUAGGUUGUUUUUGCAGUUGUAGUAACUGGUUAUAUGACCAACAAAAUAUGAAGAAUGGGUAAACAAAUUCUGAUAGUAAUGAUCAGUCACUUUGCAAAUAUAAAGUUACUAUUUACUACUGUAUUGUACAGGUUCAAUAA
Molecule: long non-coding RNA, 414 nt
Filed under: Homo sapiens (human)
Lineage: Eukaryota; Metazoa; Chordata; Mammalia; Primates; Hominidae
Description: non-protein coding lnc-OR4F3-1:1
Source: RNAcentral